RNAcentral lists this transfer RNA (61 nucleotides) under bovine gut metagenome. It matches the Rfam family "tRNA", at positions 6 to 65 of the family's 71-position model. From Rfam's summary of the family: Transfer RNA (tRNA) molecules are approximately 80 nucleotides in length. Their secondary structure includes four short double-helical elements and three loops (D, anti-codon, and T loops). Further hydrogen bonds mediate the characteristic L-shaped molecular structure. tRNAs have two regions of fundamental functional importance: the anti-codon, which is responsible for specific mRNA codon recognition, and the 3' end, to which the tRNAs corresponding amino acid is attached (by aminoacyl-tRNA synthetases). tRNAs cope with the degeneracy of the genetic code in two manners: having more than one tRNA (with a specific anti-codon) for a particular amino acid; and 'wobble' base-pairing, i.e. permitting non-standard base-pairing at the 3rd anti-codon position. The record is from RNAcentral.
AGUAGCCAAGCGGUAAGGCACUGGGUUUUGAUCCCAGCAUCCGUAGGUUCGAAUCCUGCCU